UCGGCAGAAAGAAGAAUUUGAUCACCAUAUCAGACUUCAGGUGAUACUUUAGUGUUAAAAUUUUCAACUGUAGUGUUGAUAUCUACCAUUAACCUGACAUCUCUCAUGCUACUGUUAAGAAAAGGCACACAUAUUUCCAUGUUCUUUUUAUUAAUCAUAUAUUCGGGUUCUUAGACUGUCUCCAUUUAUUUACUGUUGACAUUGUUACCUUGCCUGUGAGUGAUUGUUAUGUAAUAUAUCCAGCAAAGUCUCUGAAAAAGACUUUUCAUUAUUUUUAUUAUUGUCUUUGGAAGAAUCAUUUCA
RNAcentral lists this unclassified non-coding RNA (303 nucleotides) under Hevea brasiliensis (rubber tree). The record is from RNAcentral. Lineage: Eukaryota; Viridiplantae; Streptophyta; Magnoliopsida; Malpighiales; Euphorbiaceae.